Long non-coding RNA from Nerophis ophidion (straightnose pipefish), 1234 nucleotides. RefSeq lists it as uncharacterized. The transcript has 4 exons. The record is from RefSeq and is a predicted model, not a curated record. NCBI's taxonomy places the organism in Eukaryota, Metazoa, Chordata, Actinopteri, Syngnathiformes, Syngnathidae.
CAUCAUCAACCUCACAAAACCAGGAAAUACCUGCCGGCUACGCCCCAAACAUUUCUAAAGAGGAGCUUCCACCACAUGGUCUCAAUCUAGCAGUACAGUCCUGGCCAGCGCGUAAUUGUCUAAGUGCUUCUGGAUGGCGGCGGGUUGUUUGGUCAUUAAGGAGUCUAUUAAGUCAUUAGUGCAACAGUGGGCUGCCGUCUGCCUGCCGACUGGACCAGAUGAUCGGGUUGAUACACGUUGCCUUUUUUUGUCCGCAUAUUUCUGCAGUGUGUUGAAGUGAGCAAUAGGUGAGCAACAGGACAACAGGAGCCCCAGGACAACGUUAGACAGGAUGAUAGAGUGAGGAGGAGGAAGUAGGACGUGACUUCCCAGAUCAGCGAAACGCUCGCUAACGCAUCCCUUUAAAGGCCUGACGCAUUGGACGCAUCAUUAGUCUAUGAAGUGGCUCCUGCAGAGACAUCCACACCUCUGGCCUAUAAAGUAGUCCCAGGCAGACUGGAGCUGUCAUAGAAACACAAUGAGGACUGUGAUGCACCAGCGAUCACUACAAACAUGCCGCCCAAACGCCUGCAUCGCUUUCUCCGAUCCAACAGCUCGGAAAACGACUUCCUUUGGGCUCCCUUGUCUAGGGUUCUGCAAGAAAGUCUUGGACAAUCCAAGACCAACUGCUCACAUGAUGAAUCACCGCUACUCUUGUUUCUCCAGGAUAUUGUAAGCCGCUACUUUUAUGGAGAACAAAUAGCAUGUUGGCCAACAGUGUUUGGACACUUUCCCAACACAGAUUUCCCUUUUUAACAUUACUCAUGUUUCAGAGUGACCACGCCACGCUGCGUUCACUCCCCAGUCGCAAUCCAUCUCACUUCUCCUGAUUCCCACACACGUGUUCUCCCUAUGCCUCAAAGUCUAUCCUCCAUGCGUCCCGCUGACCUCACCGCUCUCACAGUCGAGCGUACAGGGAUGCAAUCAACCAUAGCUUUCAGAUUAAAUCGCAAAUUAUUAUAAUUGACGAUAAUGGUUUCCAUGUCAGCUGUGCCCGUCAUUGUUCUCGUACAUAUUUAGAAACAAGGUUGGGAUCUGAUCUGAAGUGAAUUCAAACUCACAGGCGGAUGUAAUUUGUAAAUCUGUCUAAUCUACACCAAUGUACCACAUAAUGUUAAUUAUUGGAGCCUGAAUAAACUGUUUGUAAGACAGACAGACUUAUACAGGUAGGCCAGGGGUCGGCAACCCAAAACAU